Non-coding RNA from Punica granatum (pomegranate), 657 nucleotides. NCBI's taxonomy places the organism in Eukaryota, Viridiplantae, Streptophyta, Magnoliopsida, Myrtales, Lythraceae. The record is from RefSeq and is a predicted model, not a curated record.
UGAGAAGAGAAUAUUCGUCUCGUAUUUGCUGGACAGCGUAGACGGUAGGCCGGGCCGGGGAGGAAUAUUCUAUCGACGGGAUAAUGAUAUCCCCCCGGAUAUGCCACGGGCAUAUUCUCGCUCUCUUUCUCUCUCUCACCUUGUCUGUCCACUAGCUCCCCCGACCUCAACUCCAAUUCAGUCACUCACUAGUCACCACCAACUCCUCCUCCUCCAUGUUCUCUUCCUCCGCCACCACUUCCGGCGCGUCCUCUGCUGGCUCUGCCGUGAUGCCCUCCACUUCCCGGCCCACGCCUCCACUGGUCACUCGGGACCCCAUGAAUGAAUACAUCCGUUUCCCAGGUCAAGUGCCCUGCGCUACGCUACAUGCUCAUGUAUUUGUGUGACUGCGCCGCUAUCGCUUACGGCUGGGCUCGGCUCAGAAAGCGAGCCAGUCGAUCAACCUAGAGGACUGGUCUAUGAUAUUAUACAAAUAUAAUAUGCCAAAACUUGCAAGAAAACUGGAAUUAGCUCUCACAUUGCGGUUCGAAAAAAUUCUAGAACUUGUAAAGAAACUUUCUAUUUUCCCCUACUCCCCGUUGAUGCAUGAAAUUUCUCUUGUAUACUCAUCGAAAAAUAAGAUGCGAAAUUGAACCACGUAGUCAUAUAAUAUUCGUC